GCGAAGAACCUUACCUGGGUUUGAACUUCAGUGGUAAGGCUCAGAGAUGAGCCCCUCCCUUCGGGGAUCGCUGGAGAGGUGCUGCAUGGCUGUCGUCAGCUCGUGUCGUGAGAUGUUGGGUUAAGUCCCGCAACGAGCGCAACCCUUGUCCAUAGUUACUAACGGGUAAUGCCGAGAACUCUAUGGAGACUGCCGGUGAUAAACCGGAGGAAGGUGGGGAUGACGUCAAGUCCUCAUGGCCUUUAUGUCCAGGGCUACACACGUGCUACAAUGGACGGCACAAAGAGUCGCAAUACCGCAAGGUUGUGCUAAUCUCAAAAAACCGUUCUCAGUUCGGAUUGCAGUCUGCAACUCGACUGCAUGAAGCUGGAAUCGCUAGUAAUCGCGGAUCAGCACGCCGCGGUGAAUACGUUCCCGGGUCUUGUACACACCGA
RNAcentral lists this ribosomal RNA (434 nucleotides) under uncultured bacterium. RNAcentral describes it as "bacterial SSU rRNA". It matches the Rfam family "Bacterial small subunit ribosomal RNA", at positions 961 to 1393 of the family's 1533-position model. The record is from RNAcentral.